GAAAUAUACAAAAAUAAGCUUCUAACUUAAUUAAAAGCACUUAGUGUUUAUAUUUCU
Molecule: transfer RNA, 57 nt
Filed under: Cteniopinus ruber
Lineage: Eukaryota; Metazoa; Arthropoda; Insecta; Coleoptera; Tenebrionidae
Description: tRNA-Ser
Source: RNAcentral